AACGGUCUAUACCUGCGGUACCUGCGGAGGGAUCGUUACCGAGUUAUCAACUCCCAAACCCCUGUGAACAUACCCGAACGUUGCCUCGGCGGGACCGCCCCGGCGCCCCUAGCGGCCCGGAACCAGGCGCCCGCCGGAGGACCCAAACUCUUGCUUUAAACAGUGGCAUACUCUCUGAGUCUCACAAACAAAAAAUAAAUCAAAACUUUCAGCAACGGAUCUCUAGAUCGGAAGAGCACA
RNAcentral lists this unclassified non-coding RNA (240 nucleotides) under soil metagenome. RNAcentral's name for it is "partial contains 5.8S ribosomal RNA, internal transcribed spacer 2, and large subunit ribosomal RNA". The record is from RNAcentral.